GGUGAUCUAGCCAUGGGCAGGUUGAAGGUUGGGUAACACUAACUGGAGGACCGAACCGACUAAUGUUGAAAAAUUAGCGGAUGACUUGUGGCUGGGGGUGAAAGGCCAAUCAAACCGGGAGAUAGCUGGUUCUCCCCGAAAGCUAUUUAGGUAGCGCCUCGUGAACUCAUCUUCGGGGGUAGAGCACUGUUUCGGCUAGGGGGCCAUCCCGGCUUACCAACCCGAUGCAAACUACGAAUACCGAAGAAUGUUAUCACGGGAGACACACGGCGGGUGCUAACGUCCGUCGUGAAGAGGGAAACAACCCAGACCGCCAGCUAAGGUCCCAAAGUCAUGGUUAAGUGGGAAACGAUGUGGGAAGGCACAGACAGCCAGGAUGUUGGCUUAGAAGCAGCCAUCAUUUAAAGAAAGCGUAAUAGCUCACUGGUCGAGUCGGCCUGCGCGGAAGAUGUAACGGGGCUAAACCAUGCAC
This 472-nucleotide ribosomal RNA is filed under the name Enterobacter roggenkampii. RNAcentral's name for it is "partial 23S ribosomal RNA". It matches the Rfam family "Bacterial large subunit ribosomal RNA", at positions 724 to 1194 of the family's 2925-position model. Lineage: Bacteria; Pseudomonadati; Pseudomonadota; Gammaproteobacteria; Enterobacterales; Enterobacteriaceae. The record is from RNAcentral.